This 356-nucleotide ribosomal RNA is filed under the name Syrbula montezuma. Its description in RNAcentral is "partial 12S ribosomal RNA". Lineage: Eukaryota; Metazoa; Arthropoda; Insecta; Orthoptera; Acrididae. The record is from RNAcentral.
UUUAAGUGUUAAUUUCUCUUACCUGGGUAGUAUUAGCUAUGAUCUUUAAACCCAAAGAAUUUGGCGGUACCUUAUUCUAUUCAGAGGAACCUAUCCCAUGAUUGAUAGUACACGAUUAACUUUACUUAAUUUAUUUGUUUGUAUAUCUCCGUUAUCAGAAAAUCUUUUUGGAGUUAUAAUUUUCUUAAUUUAUGAUUUUAAAAUAUUUCAGGUCAAGGUGCAGCUUAUAAUUAAGAGGAGAUGGGUUACAAUAUAUUUUAGUAUAUUAUGGACUUUAUGGUGCAAUCUAUAAAUGAAGGUGGAUUUGAUAGUAAUUUAAUUAAUUUAAUUUAAUUGAUAUUAGCUCUAAGGUGUGU